RNAcentral lists this ribosomal RNA (463 nucleotides) under uncultured bacterium. Its description in RNAcentral is "partial 16S ribosomal RNA". It matches the Rfam family "Bacterial small subunit ribosomal RNA", at positions 28 to 507 of the family's 1533-position model. The record is from RNAcentral.
GAUGAACGCUGACAGAAUGCUUAACACAUGCAAGUCGAUGGGGAAGUGGUGCUUGCACCAUGGCAACCAUGGCGGACGGGUGAGUAACGCGUAAGGGACUUACCUGCAGGACUGGGAUAACAGGGGGAAACUCCUGACAAGACCGGAUAAUGUCAUGGAGCUGCAUGGCUUUAUGAUGAAAGGAGACGCCUGCGGAGAGCCUUGCGUCCUAUUAGCUAGUUGGUGAGGUAAUGGCUCACCAAGGCGAAGAUAGGUAGCCGGCCUGAGAGGGUGGACGGCCACAAGGGGACUGAGAUACGGCCCUUACUCCUACGGGAGGCAGCAGUGGGGAAUAUUGGACAAUGGGGGCAACCCUGAUCCAGCAAUUCUGUGUGCACGAAGAAGGUUUUCGGAUUGUAAAGUGCUUUCAGCAGGGAAGUAGUAAGUGACGGUACCUGCAGAAGAAGCGACGGCUAAAUACGUG